RNAcentral lists this ribosomal RNA (492 nucleotides) under uncultured bacterium. Its description in RNAcentral is "partial 16S ribosomal RNA". It matches the Rfam family "Bacterial small subunit ribosomal RNA", at positions 29 to 507 of the family's 1533-position model. The record is from RNAcentral.
AGUGAACGCUGGCGGUAGGCCUAACACAUGCAAGUCGAGCGGCAGCACAGUAAGAGCUUGCUCUUACGGGUGGCGAGUGGCGGACGGGUGAGGAAUACAUCGGAAUCUACUUUUUCGUGGGGGAUAACGUAGGGAAACUUACGCUAAUACCGCAUACGGCCUACGGGUGAAAGCAGGGGAUCUUCGGACCUUGCGCGAUUGAAUGAGCCGAUGUCGGAUUAGCUAGUUGGCGGGGUAAAGGCCCACCAAGGCGACGAUCCGUAGCUGGUCUGAGAGGAUGAUCAGCCACACUGUAACUGAGACACGGUCCAGACUCCUACGGGAGGCAGCAGUGGGGAAUAUUGGACAAUGGGCGCAAGCCUGAUCCAGCCAUACCGCGUGGGUGAAGAAGGCCUUCGGGUUGUAAAGCCCUUUUGUUGGGAAAGAAAAGCAGCAGGUUAAUACCCCGCUGUUCUGACGGUACCCAAAGAAUAAGCACCGGCUAACUUCGUG